Molecule: transfer RNA, 72 nt
Filed under: Camelus bactrianus (Bactrian camel)
Lineage: Eukaryota; Metazoa; Chordata; Mammalia; Artiodactyla; Camelidae
Also listed under: 2 other names
Rfam family: tRNA
About the family: Transfer RNA (tRNA) molecules are approximately 80 nucleotides in length. Their secondary structure includes four short double-helical elements and three loops (D, anti-codon, and T loops).
Source: Rfam by way of RNAcentral
AAGGGUAUAGCUCAGUGACAGAAUACAUGCCUAACAUGCAGGAGGUCCUGGGUUCAAUACCCAGUACCUCCA